Molecule: transfer RNA, 77 nt
Filed under: Mesorhizobium sp.
Lineage: Bacteria; Pseudomonadati; Pseudomonadota; Alphaproteobacteria; Hyphomicrobiales; Phyllobacteriaceae
Description: tRNA-Met
Rfam family: tRNA
About the family: Transfer RNA (tRNA) molecules are approximately 80 nucleotides in length. Their secondary structure includes four short double-helical elements and three loops (D, anti-codon, and T loops). Further hydrogen bonds mediate the characteristic L-shaped molecular structure. tRNAs have two regions of fundamental functional importance: the anti-codon, which is responsible for specific mRNA codon recognition, and the 3' end, to which the tRNAs corresponding amino acid is attached (by aminoacyl-tRNA synthetases). tRNAs cope with the degeneracy of the genetic code in two manners: having more than one tRNA (with a specific anti-codon) for a particular amino acid; and 'wobble' base-pairing, i.e. permitting non-standard base-pairing at the 3rd anti-codon position.
Source: RNAcentral
GGCGGGGUAGCUCAGUUGGUUAGAGCACGGCAAUCAUAAUCCUGGGGUCGGGGGUUCAAGGCCCUCUCCCGCAACCA